Molecule: ribosomal RNA, 497 nt
Filed under: uncultured bacterium
Lineage: Bacteria
Description: partial 16S ribosomal RNA
Rfam family: Bacterial small subunit ribosomal RNA
Source: RNAcentral
GAUGAACGCUGGCGGCGUGCCUAAUACAUGCAAGUCGAGCGAACGGACGAGAAGCUUGCUUCUCUGAUGUUAGCGGCGGACGGGUGAGUAACACGUGGAUAACCUACCUAUAAGACUGGGAUAACUUCGGGAAACCGGAGCUAAUACCGGAUAAUAUUUUGAACCGCAUGGUUCAAAAGUGAAAGACGGUCUUGCUGUCACUUAUAGAUGGAUCCGCGCUGCAUUAGCUAGUUGGUAAGGUAACGGCUUACCAAGGCAACGAUGCAUAGCCGACCUGAGAGGGGGAUCGGCCACACUGGAACUGGGACACGGUCCAGACUCCUACGAGAGGCAGCAGUAGGGAAUCUUCCGCAAUGGGCGAAAGCCUGACGGAGCAACGCCGCGUGAGUGAUGAAGGUCUUCGGAUCGUAAAGCUCUGUUAUUAGGGAAGAACAUAUGUGUAAGUAACUGUGCACAUCGUGACGGUACCUAAUCAGAAAGCCACGGCUAACUACGUG